UGACGAGUGGCGGACGGGUGAGUAAUGCUUGGGAAUCUGGCUUAUGGAGGGGGAUAACUACGGGAAACUGUAGCUAAUACCGCGUAAUAUCGAGAGAUUAAAGGGUGGGACCGCAAGGCCACCUGCCAUGAGAUGAGCCCAAGUGGGAUUAGGUAGUUGGUGAGGUAAAGGCUCACCAAGCCGACGAUCUCUAGCUGGUCUGAGAGGAUGACCAGCCACACUGGAACUGAGACACGGUCCAGACUCCUACGGGAGGCAGCAGUGGGGAAUAUUGCACAAUGGGCGGAAGCCUGAUGCAGCAACGCCGCGUGCGGGAUGACGGCCUUCGGGUUGUAAACUCCUUUCGUUAGGGACGAAGCCGCACUUUUUUUGGGUGUGGUGACGGUACCUUUGUUAAGAAGCACCGGCUAACUACGUGCCAGCAGCCGCGGU
RNAcentral lists this ribosomal RNA (432 nucleotides) under Prorocentrum minimum. RNAcentral's name for it is "partial Bacterial small subunit ribosomal RNA". It matches the Rfam family "Bacterial small subunit ribosomal RNA", at positions 89 to 521 of the family's 1533-position model. Lineage: Eukaryota; Dinophyceae; Prorocentrales; Prorocentraceae. The record is from RNAcentral.